Doryrhamphus excisus (bluestripe pipefish) is the source of this 589-nucleotide non-coding RNA. The record is from RefSeq and is a predicted model, not a curated record. Lineage: Eukaryota; Metazoa; Chordata; Actinopteri; Syngnathiformes; Syngnathidae.
GGAGGUCUGGGCUUUUCCUACUGAGACUGCUGCCCCCGCGACCCGGAUAAGCCGAGCAAAAUGGAUGGAUGGAUGGAGGAGUGUAAAGGAAGGUGGCCUGGGACCGGGAAGUCUGGGCUUUCCUACUGCGACUGCUGCCCCCACGACCCGGAUAAGCCGAGCAAAAUGGAUGGAUGGAGUGUAAAGGAAGGUGGCCGGGGUGACCGGGAAGUCUGGGCUUUCCUACUGAGACUGCUGCCCCCGCGACCCGGAUAAGCGGAGGAAAAUGGAUGGAUGGAGGAGUGUAAAGGAAGGUGGCCGGGGACCAGGAAGUCCGGGCUGCUUUCCUACUGAGACUGCUGCCCCCGCGACCCGGAUAAGCCGAGGAAAAUGGAUGGAUGGAGGUGUGUAAAGAUGGCCGCAGUCGUCGUGACAGAACGUUUCUUGUGACGAGGAUGUCGGAUGCUGAGGUGAACAAACGUCUGCGGACGCAAGAAGGCUGGCUGACCAGUCGAUACGGGGACAGUCGAUGAGGCCCGCUUUCCAUCACCGUCUCCUGCCGCCAUCUUGAUCCCACGCACGGGACGUCUCGUUAGGGCUGCGUUUUAUC